UGUUCUGAAUCUGUCUACUGUAGUACCCAUGUAGGCACCCAGAGCUGGGUAAACAGAAAACAGUAGGAAAGGUGGGUAAGGGCAGCUUCUGAUUGCUCAUUAUUACUCAGAAGCUCUUUUAAUUUGUGCCAGUAACAGGGACAUCAAUUACAAAUUCUCAUUUGGCCGUGCAGUUUACAUGCAAACAAAACUGAAGCAAACACAUCACUAAGUAGUUCUGAUUGUUAUUUUGACACGUGAAAUAGAAUAGUUCCAGAUCUUUGAGGAAGAAUUCUAAAUGUUACUCAGGGUUGGAGUCCAGACAAGUUAGGUUCUUGAGCGCACCUCCAUUGUAGAUCCUGGAAGACCAGGAAACUUAGCUGUGACUCCCCAUUUGGGCCUCAGUCUCCUAAUUUAUAAUAUGUGUGGGCCUCAAGACCUUUUGAGGAACGAUAAAUUAUAUUAACGAAUUCAGAGAGAAAAAUCAGCAUUAAGAAAUAUCCAUAGUCUAACAGAGGAAGCUUUUAGCAAUGGAAGACAUGUCUUACUUACGAUGGUUGAAGGAAAAAAAAGCUGGUGCAGAUUGAGAAUUCUAGCAGUUUGGGAGAAGUUAAACCCUCUCAACAGGGAACACUCUGCAUUUAAAGGAUCCUGUAAACUGCAGCACCAGGAAAACUAUAGUCCAAGUCUUCAUUCUUCAGCUUGCAGUCACGUCAUCACCAUAUGCUGUACACUAGAGUAUUUAUGGCUUGAAUCACACAUGGAGCCAGUCUUAUCUCAGGCAACCAUGCUGUCUGCAUCAAUUUAAGAUAAAACUGUGCUAAUGACAGGAGGGCAUGUUUAAAUGUACGUUUCCAUGUACGGGAUAAAAUACUUGGUCAAAUGAAGCUUGGUCAAAUGAAGCUUCAUGCUACUUCUC
Long non-coding RNA from Symphalangus syndactylus (siamang), 898 nucleotides. RefSeq lists it as uncharacterized. Lineage: Eukaryota; Metazoa; Chordata; Mammalia; Primates; Hylobatidae. The record is from RefSeq and is a predicted model, not a curated record.